CUCCGGGGCGGGCACGUGGCCGAGGCCCCAGGCCGCCCGCACAUGGGACCACCCGAUGGGCGCCCAUCCCGCCCGUCCCCCUCCGUCGGGGUGUCGAUGGCUGCGGCUCCGGCCAGAAGAGUCCGCCCCGGACGCCUGCGAGGGCGGGUAACCUGCACCCCGCCACCGGCCCACGCCCGCACUCACCGUGACCGUCACCUCAUCGUCGUGUAGGAUGAGGGCCGAGUAGAUGCAGGCGAGCUCCGAGACGGAGGCCAUGGUGCGGGCGAGGGCUAGGCAGGGUCUGCCGGGCGCGGUGCUAGUCGCCGGAUGAAGUGAGGGCCUCACCCCAACGCGGCCUUAGCUUCCUCGGAAGGACCGAGCACCUUAGCGGAAACUGAGGAAAAGGAAGUACCCUUCUUCGCGCAGCCGCUUAUACAGGCCACGCGGACCAAUCGGCGCCCGAGCUUGCCGGAAGAGGCGGGACUAGAGACUCUCGCGACAACACACCAAAGACGCCUGCGCAAGCGCGUAUCUCGCUCGUUUGCGGGUUCAAAAAGUUGCUAGGCGCUUGCAGACGCCAGUUCCCGUGGCUUGGGUAAAAACUCAGCUUGUGAACAGUAAAAAUAUUUUUAGCAAAAAGUUACCUAGAUAAAUAGGUAUCACUCCCACCUCCUGUAGCCCGUGUGAGAGUGUUUGAGCAGGCAGUGACCUGCUGAAGAGCAGGAAAUAGGUUUUAACCUGGAGGUCCCGGUGCUUAGCGCAGCUUCUCGGAUAAAAUACUAAGUGAAUAUAGGAGAAAAUGAGAAACCUGCAACGUUACUGUAGCACAGGCAUUUGAGCGCCUACUGUGACCCAGGCACUGAGCCACACUCUGCAAGGAUUCAUUUAAUCCUCACCCAGCAUAAGAGCUUGUGGGAUCUUAGUUCCUGGUCCAGGGAUCGAACUCGGGCCCUCGGCAGUGAAAGCGCAGAGUCCUAACCAAGGACUGCCAGGGAAUUCCCUCAAGUGACAGUACAGUCAAAGGUGAUGUCGUUUGUCUAGUGCUUCAAUCAGCCUGGGAAGAGUCUGCUCGUCAUUGAUAUCCAAAAUUUCGCAGGAUGGCAAAGGUGGAAAACUCUGCAAAACCACUUCUGAAACCAGCAGUUCUGUAUUGAGUUAUUAAAAAUAAAAAGUUAGUUACACAGGAAAAAAAGUUACUCAAACAAGUUUUAACACUGUGAUAAGAUCCCCAGUCAACAUUGUACCUUGUUGGGCUGUCAUAAUACGUCCUUAAAAAUGUUAUAAUAAAGAAGGAAAAAUGGGAAAAAAAGGUAUAUAAUAAAAGAAAUGUCACUUA
Lagenorhynchus albirostris (white-beaked dolphin) is the source of this 1318-nucleotide long non-coding RNA. RefSeq lists it as uncharacterized. The transcript is spliced from 3 exons. The record is from RefSeq and is a predicted model, not a curated record. NCBI's taxonomy places the organism in Eukaryota, Metazoa, Chordata, Mammalia, Artiodactyla, Delphinidae.